RNAcentral lists this ribosomal RNA (342 nucleotides) under Klebsiella pneumoniae. RNAcentral describes it as "bacterial LSU rRNA". It matches the Rfam family "Bacterial large subunit ribosomal RNA", at positions 2601 to 2925 of the family's 2925-position model. Lineage: Bacteria; Pseudomonadati; Pseudomonadota; Gammaproteobacteria; Enterobacterales; Enterobacteriaceae. The record is from RNAcentral.
CGAGCUGGGUUUAGAACGUCGUGAGACAGUUCGGUCCCUAUCUGCCGUGGGCGCUGGAGAAUUGAGGGGGGCUGCUCCUAGUACGAGAGGACCGGAGUGGACGCAUCACUGGUGUUCGGGUUGUCAUGCCAAUGGCACUGCCCGGUAGCUAAAUGCGGAAGAGAUAAGUGCUGAAAGCAUCUAAGCACGAAACUUGCCCCGAGAUGAGUUCUCCCUGAGACUUUAAGUCUCCUGAAGGAACGUUAAAGACGAUGACGUUGAUAGGCCGGGUGUGUAAGCGCAGCGAUGCGUUGAGCUAACCGGUACUAAUGAACCGUGAGGCUUAACCUUACAACGCCGAAG